RNAcentral lists this ribosomal RNA (384 nucleotides) under uncultured Synura. RNAcentral's name for it is "SSU rRNA". It matches the Rfam family "Eukaryotic small subunit ribosomal RNA", at positions 585 to 972 of the family's 1831-position model. The record is from RNAcentral. Lineage: Eukaryota; Synurophyceae; Synurales.
CCAGCUCCAAUAGCGUAUACUAAAGUUGUUGCAGUUAAAAAGCUCGUAGUUGAAUCUCUGGUCGUGACUGUCGGUCCAUCCUUUACUGGGUGUGUACUAGCGGGUUUCGUCCAUCUUCGGAGAAAACGGGUCUGGCAUUAAGUUGUCGGGUUCGGUGUCUCCGUCAUUUACUGUGAGCAAACUAGAGUGUUCAAAGCAGGCUUACGCCGUUGAAUACAUUAGCAUGGAAUAAUAAGAUAAGACCUUGGUCUAUUUUGUUGGUUAUAUUCCAAGGUAAUGAUUAAUAGGGAUAGUUGGGGGUAUUCGUAUUCAAUUGUCAGAGGUGAAAUUCUUGGAUUUAUGGAAGACGAACUACUGCGAAAGCAUUUACCAAAUAUGUUUUCA